CUUAUUUUCUGAAUAAUGCUGUAAAUGGGAAAGGACAUGGUGAGGGGAGAACGGAACCUCACGGGCAUGGCCUGGGCUACAUUUGUUUCUUAUAGCCUCAUGCUUUGUAUCUCCUAAGGACAUAAAACUAUUAGAGAGUGUCCAAGGGAGGGCUAUGAAGAUGGUGAAGGGUCUGGAGGGCAAGACACAUGUGGGUGGCUGAGGUCCCUGGGUUUGCUCAGCCCCGAGCAGAGCAGGCUGAGGAGAGGCCUCAUGGCGGCCUGCAGCUCCCUCACGAGGGGAGCGGAGGGGCAGGCGCUGAGCUCUGCUCUCUGGGGACAGCGACAGGACCCGAGGGGACGGCAUGGAGCUGGGACAGGGGAGGGUCAGGCUGGGGUUAGGGAAAGGGUCUGCACCCAGAGGGUGCUCGGGCACUGGGACAGGAUCCCCAGGGAUGCGGUCAUGGCACCGAGCUGCCAGAGUUCAAGAAGCACUUGGACAACACUCUCAGACAUAGGGUCUGAUUUUUGGGUGGAGCCAGGAGGUGGUCUCGGUGAUCCUUGUGGGUCCUUUCCCACUCGUGACAUUCUGUGAUUCUGUGACCCCCAGCACCCCACUGGGCAAUGUGCCGGGCUUUAACUCUGUUACACUGUAUGACGUACAAACGGGAUUUAAGAAAAGCUCUUAAAAUAUGUGGUGGGCACCAGGCAUCCCGUGUCCGCCUCCCAGACGCAGCCAUUUAUUUCACCUUCCCCCCGCGGCUGCUGGCGGGGCUGACAGCGGGGCGAGCCCCAGCCCCUGCCCUGCUUGGCUGCGGCUCCCUCGGCCACCUCGGGGGCAAACCGGAGGCGAAGAGGUGUGUGUUUGUGCAUGUAUGGUGUACGUGGGGUGUGUUUGUGUGUGUGUAUUUGUGUAUUUGUGCCCCGUGUGCGUGGCGGGCGGGGCACAGCCGCCUCCCCGCCGCGGGGUGGGGGGAUCGCAGCCAGCUCCCUGCCAGCGCCCCGCUCCCAGCCGCCGCAUGUAUCAAAGAUGCAGACUUUGGGAUAGAUUGCACGAUGAGCACAUUAACGCAGGACGAACAGUUCAGGUAAGGAUACUAAAAUCACUGUGGCAUUAAGAGAAUUAAAUAUUCCAUUAUUAAAUUCCAUAUAAUACUGGUUGCUUCAGAGACAGAUCUUGACAGAGAAGUGUAUUUGACAGAUGGAUUUGACAGGUAUGUGGUGUUGCUUUACUUUGUUUAAGAGGUUAGGGAUUUCCUAAUUGUAUAUUGUGAGGCAAAUACUGUCAGAAAGGUUUUGAAACAUAUAACAACAAUGGGUCAUCACUGGGAAUUUUCAGAAUUCUUGAACAAUAUGUCUUAGUCACCUCUUCAAGUAAAGCUGUCUUAUAAUAAAUUUUGUUGUGUAAACUUAUGGUGAAUUUUUAGACACUGAGUAUCAUUCCAAAUACACAAGCAACUGCUGGUGUCCCGGUCAGUAUUUGUAUAUAGCUUUAAGUGAAACAAAGUUUGGAAACUUUGGUCUUCAGUAAGCUAUCCUAUUGCAUUACUAAAUUAGAUGAUGUUAAUUGCAAUAAUAAGAUAAUAUUGGUUCUAAAGUAUGGUUUCAGCCCAAACACAGAACAUCUGGACUACUAGUUUGGUGUGCAAAUCUAUUAUUAGAUGCAUCAUGUCAUCAAAGGAUGAAAUACCAGACCCAUUUGUCUGCAUGGCAUCAUCUCGGUGACUUCAUGCAUAGUCAACCAUAACUCAGCAGACAGGGAAUCUCACAUCUGUUUUUUAAAAAAACGCAUGUCUGGAUGUAAAUGGUGCCAAAGCUAAUGCCAAACAUCAGUCUUCAUGCUGCUAAAUAGUACGCAGCCAAAGAAGAUUAUCAGUGCAGAAACCACGAAGACCAGAUCUGCAUUACAACAUUCUGCUGACGCAGAUAUAGCAGCCAGUGGUUAUAACACUGCUGUACUGGCAAAACUCUGGGAACAGAUGUAUUUUAGCCAGCAGGAGAGGCAUCUUGUGUUGGUUUCACAUGUGGUUUUCAGAGCAGGAGUAUGAUUUUGUUGCCAGAACAAACCGUUUGCGACCCGUACUGCCUCAUGACAAGCAGGCUUUGCCAGUAGGGGUAGCACAGUUCUAAAACACUGUGUUUUAUAAUUAUGAUACUGUGAGUUCCCAUGUUUGUUGCAAUACCUUCCCAACUCCUAUGGGAAAUGAGGCCAGAAAAAAAAAAAAUCAGAAAGAACUUAAUCCUAAUUGAACAACAGUAUUAGACAGAAGUCAGAGCUAGAGGUACAUGUCUUUUUUUGAGGUCUGGAAGGUAUUAAAGAGGUUUUAUAGUGUAGAUGUUAAGAAGUUAUACCUGAAAUCCACUUGAUUUUUCUUUUAUUUGGAGGUUUGCAUGUUUAUUAUGUUUUUCACCAAACACUUUUGAAAUUUGAAUAUGUUUAUUGUUAGUGUUGGCAAAAGAGUCUGCCAAAGGUGUUUGCAAAAUCAGUCCUAUUAAAACAAUGUCAUUCUAACAGGUGUGUAGAAAGCAGGUGUUUGCCUAUGUCUGUGAUCAAAUCUAUUUUCACAUAUAAAGGGUAGGAAAGGUUACUCUUGGAACUCCUUAUCAUGAGUACCAUUUGUCUACCAAGACAAACUCUUGAUAAGAGUUAGGGCAAUAGCAGUCAUGUUGAGGACGUUGUUUUUAAAUACAUUAAGUGCUCUAGUAAUAAAAACUCUUACUUGUCUCUAGAAAGAUUUAUGCUUGUCUUGAGCCUAAAGCCUGCCAUUUUCACCUUCUGUCAAAACAGAUUUUCUUAUUUUUUAUAUAGUACUUUUUGCUUUUAGAUCUGGGUGCAGGUUACACAUUAACACAUGUUUGGAUACCCACAGAGCAGAAUAAGUAUCAGGGUCCAUGCAAGAAGUGUGGAGUAGCUCUCUGUUUUAAUUAAAAGAGUUAGUAGUCUGGAGUACUUGAUAAUAAAUUAUACGACAUGUAGAAUGUGUUUGCUGUAAGCUGUUUAAAUGUUUACCGAUGGACUUGUGAUCUGUUUGUUUGUGAAGAAAUCAGAUUAAUUAUUGUGAUACCAAAUGUUCUCUGCAGCACACACUUUGCUCUCAAAAUUAGAUGUUGUAAAAAUACAUUAGGAAUCCCUAAGUCAAUAUUGACCCAAGGCAUCCGCCACAGGUUUUAGACAAAUAUAUGCACAGCCACUCUACAUUUAAUCCAUGUGCACAUAAUUAGCCAUUUUUCUGAAUUUUCAGUUUACCCAGAAUAAUUACUUCUGUUGUACGUUUGAUGAUGGUCAAAAUUAUAAUAGAAGGAUAGCAUAAGUGUGUUAUACCUCUUCUUUCUGGUGACUGAGUGCCACAUUAAAAACUUCUGAAAAGGAAGGUGAAGAAAGUGGGAAAAUCUUUGUGUGAGAGAUGAUGACACCCUUUCAGAAAUAUUAAGAAAAUGGCUUUUGUAUACAAUAUUUUUUAUGGUGUCAGGGAAGUGUCAUGUAAAAUCAGUUCACUGUCGUAGCCUGUUGCCAUCUGUAGGGUAAAUAUAGCCAAGAUUUAGAUUUUGUUUGACCUGCAUCAAGACCUGCAUUUUAUCGUAUCCCCAACAUUUCAUCCUUCCCCAGCUGAUCCCACACGGGCUGCCCACAGGCAGCAGCUCCUCAAGCACUGCUCCCACACGGCUCCGUCCCACGGGCUCCAUCCAUCCAUCCAUCCCCCAGGAGCAAACUGCUCCAGCACGGGUCCCCCACGGCUGGGCGGCAGCUCCCCCCAGACCCCCUGCUCCUGCGGGGGCUCCUCUCCACGGGCUGCAGCUGCGGCCCGGGGCCUGCUCCUGUGGGGGCUCUCCAUGGGCUGCCACAGUAAUGGGUAGUAUUAGGGGCCGUGUAGGCUAAUAGGGGUAGAGUGAGUGAAGUGCUGGAGCUUCUGAGUGCUCUGGGGACAUCCGUACUGCCAAGGACACGUGGCUGAAGCAGAUACUUACAUGGGGCAUUUUCAGGUAGCUGUUGCUGGGAGCCUUAGUUAGAGCUUCAUUUUUUUUCCUGUAACUGGUGGAGAUACCACACAUUGCAUGGAAAAGGCCGAAGUCAUAAGUAUAAAAUGAUCCUGCAAAUCAAAUACCUUCUGCCUUUUUGAGGGUUUUGGCCUCAUCUCAGCCCACUGACAUUUGUGUAAGGUGAGGCCGUGCAGGUGCAGUGUUUAUCCUCACGUCCAGGGCCUCGUGCUGGGUCAACACUGAAGCACUGCAGUGUGCUCAACGCUCUUUGUCCCUGCCCCUUUCCAUUGUGCUGUUAUUUGUCCGUAAUGAGCAGCAUGCUCCGUGCCACGUCACUGGCAGUGCAGGUCACUGUGUGUCUUUGCAUGCAGUCCAAUGAGAAUUGAAUUAUUUCUUUUUUUGUUGUUGUCACCAGUUACUUGUUCGCAAAUGUAA
Molecule: long non-coding RNA, 4391 nt
Filed under: Anas zonorhyncha (Eastern spot-billed duck)
Lineage: Eukaryota; Metazoa; Chordata; Aves; Anseriformes; Anatidae
Description: lncRNA (ENSAZOG00000003871.1)
Source: RNAcentral